AGGUGAAAACCCCACUGCAACACCAGAGCAUUGAGAACCCCGUCUUCUUCUCAUUCUUGAACCUCUUUCAAUCCUCGCAAGGUCACACUGUGCCAUAUUUUAGCGGAACAACAAUGAUAAUGUCGAUGUUAAGGUUAAGGUAUGCUCUUUCCAUUCCUAGGUUUCCCCGUUUUCUUGUUCCGCAACCCUACACUCUCAGCCUCUACUCUUUCACAAUCCUGAUGAUGUCAUUGUCUCAUUCAAUCGCAUGCUCCGUGAGCGUCCUACACCACCCAUCUUUCAAUUUAAUAAGAUUUUAGGAUCCCUUGUGAAGAACAAACACUAUCAAAUCAACUUGGCUUUUUCUGUAUUAGCCGGCAUUCUCAAAAUUGGUUAUCACCCCGACACCAUAACCUUCAACACACCCUUAGUGGCGAGAUUAAGAAAACAUUGCACUUUCAUGACAAAGUGGCAGCUCAAGGAUUUAAGCUGGACCAAGUUAGUUAUGGGACUUUGAUCAAUGGAUUGUAUAAAAUAGGACAAACAAGAGUUGAGAAGGAUUGAAGGGCGGUUGAUCAAGCCCGAUGAGCUAGGGCCAGACACCAUGCCUCACAGGGGAGUGAGUCCCAAUGUAAAUGUCUCGCACAUCUAUUGUCCCUGAUAUGGUGAAAUGAUUCCUAGAGGCUUAUCGUAAGAGUUAAACUGGGUGAGAUAUGUUCUAGUUUCACAUUAAUUUGUUUUGAAAUUUGAUGAUGACAAGCUGAUAUUUUUUUCUUUUGAUAGCUGAACAUAAAAAAAGAUGGACUAUGUUAUUGGCUCAUUGCCAUAAUAUUGAUGGGUUGUUGAGAAUUUAUAUAAUUAUCCUUUUUCUUCCCAA
Glycine soja is the source of this 856-nucleotide long non-coding RNA. RefSeq lists it as uncharacterized. The record is from RefSeq and is a predicted model, not a curated record. The transcript has 2 exons. Lineage: Eukaryota; Viridiplantae; Streptophyta; Magnoliopsida; Fabales; Fabaceae.